CUCCGGUUGAUCCUGCCGGACCUGACUGCUAUCGGAUUGGUACUAAGCCAUGCGAGUCGUUGUAGCAAUACAAGGCGGACGGCUCAGUAACACGUAGUCAACCUAACCUAUGGACGUGGAUAACCUCGGGAAACUGAGAAUAAACCGCGAUAGAUCAUUAUGCCUGGAAUGGCUUAUGGUUCAAACAAUUUAUUGCCGUAGGAUGGGACUGCGGCCUAUCAGCUUGUUGGUGAGGUAAUGGCCCACCAGGGCUAUAACAGGUACGGGCUCUGAGAGGAGAAGCCCGGAGAUGGGUACUGAGACACGGACCCAGGCCCUAUGGGGCGCAGCAGGCGAGAAACCUUAGCAAUGUGCGAAAGCACGACUAGGUUAAUCCGAGUGAUUUCUGUUGAAGAAAUCUUUUGUCAGUCGUAAAACCACAGACGAAUAAGGGGUGGGCAAGUCUGGUGUCAGCCGCCGCGGUAAUACCAGCACCUCGAGUGGUCAGGAGGUUUAUUGGGCCUAAAGCAUCCGUAGCCGGCUACGCAAGUCUCCGGUUAAAUCCAGCUGCUCAACAGAUGGGCUGCCGGAGAUACUACAUAGCUAGGGAGCGGGAGAGGUAGACGGUAUUCUGUGGGUAGGGGUAAAAUCCACUGAUCCAUAGAGGACCACCAGUGGCGAAGGCGGUCUACCAGAACGCGUUCGACGGUGAGGGAUGAAAGCUGGGGGAGCAAACCGGAUUAGAUACCCGGGUAGUCCCAGCUGUAAACGAUGCAAACUCGGUGAUGCAUUGGCUUAUGGCCAAUGCAGUGCCGCAGGGAAGCCGUUAAGUUUGCCGCCUGGGAAGUACGGACGCAAGUCUGAAACUUAAAGGAUUGGCGGGGGAGCA
This 868-nucleotide ribosomal RNA is filed under the name uncultured archaeon. RNAcentral describes it as "bacterial SSU rRNA". It matches the Rfam family "Archaeal small subunit ribosomal RNA", at positions 1 to 878 of the family's 1478-position model. The record is from RNAcentral.